CUUGGUCAUUUAGAGGAAGUAAAAGUCGUAACAAGGUCUCCGUUGGUGAACCAGCGGAGGGAUCAUUACCGAGUUAUUCAACUCAUCAACCCUGUGAACAUACCUAAACGUUGCUUCGGCGGGAACAGACGGCCCCGUGAAACGGGCCGCCCCCGCCAGAGGACCCCUAACUCUGUUUCUAUAAUGUUUCUUCUGAGUAAAACAAGCAAAUAAAUUAAAACUUUCAACAACGGAUCUCUUGGCUCUGGCAUCGAUGAAGAACGCAGCGAAAUGCGAUAAGUAAUGUGAAUUGCAGAAUUCAGUGAAUCAUCGAAUCUUUGAACGCACAUUGCGCCCGCCAGUAUUCUGGCGGGCAUGCCUGUUCGAGCGUCAUUACAACCCUCAGGCCCCCGGGCCUGGCGUUGGGGAUCGGCGGAGCCCCCCGUGGGCACACGCCGUCCCCCAAAUACAGUGGCGGUCCCGCCGCAGCUUCCAUCGCGUAGUAGCUAACACCUCGCGACUGGAGAGCGGCGCGGCCACGCCGUAAAACACCCAACUCUUCUGAAGUUGACCUCGAAUCAGGUAGGAAUACCCGCUGAACUUAAGCAUAUCAAUAAGCGGAGGAAAAGAAACCAACAGGGAUUGCCCCAGUAACGGCGAGUGAAGCGGCAACAGCUCAAAUUUGAAAUCUGGCUCUCGGGCCCGAGUUGUAAUUUGUAGAGGAUGCUUUUGGUGAGGUGCCUUCCGAGUUCCCUGGAACGGGACGCCAUAGAGGGUGAGAGCCCCGUCUGGUUGGACGCCGAACCUCUGUAAAGCUCCUUCGACGAGUCGAGUUGUUUGGGAAU
Molecule: small RNA, 824 nt
Filed under: uncultured Fusarium
Lineage: Eukaryota; Fungi; Ascomycota; Sordariomycetes; Hypocreales; Nectriaceae
Description: eukaryotic LSU rRNA
Rfam family: Eukaryotic large subunit ribosomal RNA (bases 548-824)
Source: RNAcentral